Molecule: long non-coding RNA, 620 nt
Organism: Triticum dicoccoides
Lineage: Eukaryota; Viridiplantae; Streptophyta; Magnoliopsida; Poales; Poaceae
Exons: 3
Source: RefSeq, a predicted model, not a curated record
CGAGCUCCCGGCGGCCGACCCCCAGCUGCGUCCGCGCCACGCCACGACCCCCCACCACGGAGCUUCGGGCCGCGCCCGCGCCAAAUGUUGUGACUGUCGUGCCCGCUCGCCGGACAGCUCCACGACAACGCCACCGACCACGCCUGCGAGCUCUGCUGUGACAAGCUAGGGGCAGGAAGAGGAUUCAGAGGCAUAAAGAUUAGUUACCGCACACCACCUGUUUGAUGAAAUGCCCACAGCACGACGCUGCGGCGUCUUCUUCUCCUUUCUUAGCUGGUGCUUGCCGGUCCACGCUGCCACCCAUCAAUGUUGAAAAUUCACCAUCUAAAAGGUUGUCUGAGAAGGAGAAUGAACAAGGACUGCCUACAGUGCCGCACACGUCAUUUCGUACCUGAAACUAAAAAGCUAUGGUGUUGGUUUGAUCUUGAUGUAAAUGUUCGGCGCUUUGUUUGUGCAUGGACAAAUUUUUGUAUCUUUCCUCAUAUACCAAUGGUAAAUGGAGCCGUUCUCUAUAUGGAUGUGCAUCCUGUUCUUAGUAUGUCUGUAAUUACACUAGCUUAGUUGAAUUUUGAGGUGAAUCAUACCUAAUUUUCUAUUAAAAAGAUUAUGGGAUAUUUUCA